CCUACGUGGGGCAGCAGUGGGGAAUAUUGGACAAUGGGCGAAAGCCUGAUCCAGCCAUGCCGCGUGUGUGAAGAAGGCCUUCGGGUUGUAAAGCACUUUCAGUGGGGAAGAAAGCCUUGGGGCUAAUACCCUCGAGGAAGGACAUCACCCACAGAAGAAGCACCGGCUAACUCCGUGCCAGCAGCCGCGGUAAUACGGAGGGUGCGAGCGUUAAUCGGAAUUACUGGGCGUAAAGCGCGCGUAGGCGGUCUGAUAAGCCGGUUGUGAAAGCCCCGGGCUCAACCUGGGAACGGCAUCCGGAACUGUCAGGCUAGAGUGCAGGAGAGGAAGGUAGAAUUCCCGGGGUAGCGGUGAAAUGCGUAGAGAUCGGGAGGAAUACCAGUGGCGAAGGCGGCCUUCUGGACUGACACUGACGCUGAGGUGCGAAAGCGUGGGUAGCAAACAGGAUUAGAUACCCUAGUAUC
This 464-nucleotide ribosomal RNA is filed under the name Vreelandella stevensii. RNAcentral's name for it is "partial 16S ribosomal RNA". It matches the Rfam family "Bacterial small subunit ribosomal RNA", at positions 338 to 794 of the family's 1533-position model. The record is from RNAcentral. Lineage: Bacteria; Pseudomonadati; Pseudomonadota; Gammaproteobacteria; Oceanospirillales; Halomonadaceae.